GGAUUGCCCUAGUAACGGCGAGUGAAGCGGCAACAGCUCAAAUUUGAAAUCUGGCUCUUUCAGGGUCCGAGUUGUAAUUUGUAGAGGGUGCUUUGGAGUUGACUGUGGUCUAAGUUCCUUGGAACAGGACGUCGCAGAGGGUGAGAAUCCCGUAUGUGGCCGCCAGUCUUCGCCGUGUAAAGCCCCUUCGACGAGUCGAGUUGUUUGGGAAUGCAGCUCUAAAUGGGAGGUAAAUUUCUUCUAAAGCUAAAUAUUGGCCAGAGACCGAUAGCGCACAAGUAGAGUGAUCGAAAGAUGAAAAGCACUUUGGAAAGAGAGUCAAAAAGCACGUGAAAUUGUUGAAAGGGAAGCGCUUGCAGCCAGACUUGCCUGUAGUUGCUCAUCCGGGCUUUUGCCCGGUGCACUCUUCUAUAGGCAGGCCAGCAUCAGUCCUGGCGGUCGGAUAAAUGCCCGCUGAA
RNAcentral lists this ribosomal RNA (458 nucleotides) under Sporormiella africana. RNAcentral describes it as "eukaryotic LSU rRNA". It matches the Rfam family "Eukaryotic large subunit ribosomal RNA", at positions 72 to 534 of the family's 3401-position model. The record is from RNAcentral. Lineage: Eukaryota; Fungi; Ascomycota; Dothideomycetes; Pleosporales; Sporormiaceae.